UUCAUUAACGCAUAGAAUAUUGAUAACCUAAAUAUUAAUCACUAGAAAUGAUUGAGAUUAUUAGCAAUUUGUUAUAAAUACUAAACUCAUUAUAACUCUCCGUCACUUCGGUGAGCAUUGUAGAUACGAAAAAAAAAAUAGUCUCCUUUCUCUAGGUAAAACCAUUUUCUCUUCUAUAAUUGUUUCAAAUAGGAUGGAUCGAAGCACGCAGCUCCUCGACAUGAUCCCCUCAAUGGAACCAGAGGUUUAGUGCGUAACAUCUUAUCUAUUUUUUUUCUUAUUUAUUUACUGAUCAUGUAUAUAUAUCGAUAUUAUUGAUUGAUUUGCAUUCAAUUUUUUUAAAAGGUACGGUAGAUAACUUUUUUGGAAUAGCAUAUAA
This 379-nucleotide long non-coding RNA is filed under the name Carica papaya (papaya). Its description in RNAcentral is "long non-coding RNA (CPAP_LNC004519)". Lineage: Eukaryota; Viridiplantae; Streptophyta; Magnoliopsida; Brassicales; Caricaceae. The record is from RNAcentral.